This 71-nucleotide transfer RNA is filed under the name Arthroleptis poecilonotus (West African screeching frog). RNAcentral's name for it is "tRNA-Ile". It matches the Rfam family "tRNA". Rfam says of the family: Transfer RNA (tRNA) molecules are approximately 80 nucleotides in length. Lineage: Eukaryota; Metazoa; Chordata; Amphibia; Anura; Arthroleptidae. The record is from RNAcentral.
GGAGGCGUGCCUGAAAGAUAGGGACUUCCUUGAUAGGGAAACCAAUAUGGGUUCAAACCCCCUCACCUCCU